Long non-coding RNA from Salvia splendens (bonfire salvia), 1804 nucleotides. RefSeq lists it as uncharacterized. The record is from RefSeq and is a predicted model, not a curated record. The transcript has 2 exons. Lineage: Eukaryota; Viridiplantae; Streptophyta; Magnoliopsida; Lamiales; Lamiaceae.
AAUAACAUGAUAUGCAAAAAUCAGACUUUACAAAUAAAUAAAUUUAACAAUGCAUGAAUCCUCCAUUCAUUCAUUCAUCCUUUCUACCACAAACUUCAUAUAAUCAAACUAAACAACAUCAACAAAAUGGGCAGAGAACUAAACAUUCAUCAUUUAUGCCAUUUUUAAAAAGAAAGUAACCAUUUUUAAUUGAACGAAACUUACUAUUUAUUCCAUCAUAAAUUUGUUCUAUUUAGUCUCAUUUAUUUUAAAACUAGCCAUCUAUCACAUUAAUAUAUUUAAGCCUAAGGAAAAAGUCAAACCAAAAUAUACACCAUCACAGUACACGUCUAUACACCUAAUCCAAGUGAAUGGAGAAUUCACCUAGGACUUUUUACAAACAGAUGAUGUGCAUCUAUUCCAUCACAAGAUAAGACACCUAACUAAUUAUAUGAAUGCACAGGUAUUUUGCUCCAACUUACGAAUAAAUAAAAUGGCCCAAAUGCAUACAACAAAGAUUAAAAAAUAAGUACAUAGUCACCCUCGUCUCCCUAACAUCUCUCUCUUUUUUUUUAUCUCAAAAAGAACACAUCAGUUUUAUUAAAACUCCCAGCCUGCCAACGUACGUACAUAUACUAUAAUCCCACGCCCAACACAAAAUAGCAAACUCUUUCUCUCUCUACUUCUCAAGUUGCUCAAAACAGAGAAAAUAAAAAGCAAAACAUAAACUCCAAAGCCAACACAGAAUGGAUACAUAAUAGCAAUUAAAAUAAUUGAACAUAAAUACUCCUACACUACACACGUCUACUUCCUACCCCUCAUAGAAUGAAAAGACAACAAUUUAAAAAGAGGAUUGAACAUGAUUACUCCCAAACCUCACACGUAAACUCCCCAACUUCAUUUUUUUAGUCAAGCAUUACAACUUAAACACGUAAACAAAGAAACUAUUACUCAUAUUCCAUACUCUUCUUCCUCUCUGUCCUAUCACACUCUGAAACACAUAUAUCGGCUAUACCUCUCUCUCUAGUUCUCAAUAUUUUCGUCCAAAAUCACAAAUAGGAGAUACCCAACUCUCUCUUCUAAACUCACGUCUCUAUUCUUUUUCCCAAAACAAAUUCUUUCUCUCACAAAACAGCAAUAGUAGAAAAAGACUCCCAUCUCCCUUGUUUCAGAAUUUAAAUCUUUCAUUAAAAUUUCCAGUUGUUCGUUUCAAAUAUUCAUGGGCAGACAGAGAAAUUUAAGAAUUGGAAUUGGAGUUGGAGAAAAACACAAAAGGCACAUUCUAAGCAUUAAAGAUCGAAGCUUUAGGAGGGAGCAUCAUUCAAUAGUUCCAAGAAUUUCAAAAGGGAUUUAUAUCUCGUGUGUGCUUAUGUGAAACUAAAUCAUGGAAUGAGAUGCAGAGGAUUCAGAAAAAAAUAGUGGAUAUACCUUCACGGAAGAAGCAGAACUUGCAGAAGAGAAGAUUUUUGAACUCAAUGGGAGAAGAAGAAAUUACCUUCAAUGAAGGGAAGAAAAGCUGCAGGAAUGACGGUUUGUUGAGAUUGUGGGAGGAGAUGUAUAAAUGGAGUUAAUAGAGAGUAUUUGGUUGGAGAUUUUUAAGGUGAGAAUGAGAUAUGGAGAAAACUGAAUAGAAGUGGGAUUGAGAGAAAUUUAUUUGACUAAAAUUUGACUGCACGAGGAGUAGAAUAAUUACUUAUUAUUUUGGCUUCUCAAAAAUUGGUCAACUAAAAAGAAAUAAAGGCUAGAACAAUAGAGAUAAAUUAUAGGCUCAAAUAUAUAUAAUUUUAGUACAUUGAUUAAAUUGUGGUGUUUUAUUAUUUUUGUA